GACGAACGCUGGCGGCGUGCCUAACACAUGCAAGUCAACUUGACUGAAGGAGCAAUCUGACAGUAGAGUGGCGCAAGGGUGCGUAACGCGUAAGUAACUUGCCCCAAGGUAAGGAAUAACGUCGAGAAAUCGGCGCUAAUACCUCAUAAUGCAGCGGAUCCGCAUGGAUAUGUUGUUAAAGGUUUACCGCCUUGGGAUAGGCUUGCGUCUGAUUAGUUAGUUGGUGUGGUAACGGCACACCAAGGCUACGAUCAGUAACUGGUCUGAGAGGAUGAUCAGUCACGCUGGAACUGAGACACGGUCCAGACUCCUACGGGAGGCAGCAGUGAGGAAUAUUGGGCAAUGCUCGAAAGAGUGACCCAGCAACGCCGCGUGGAGGAUGAAGGUAUUCUAUAUCGUAAACUCCUGUGAGAGCAGACGAAAGACAGAUUAUUAAUCUGGAUGACUGUAUGCUCAGAGGAAGACCCCGGCUAAC
This 475-nucleotide ribosomal RNA is filed under the name uncultured bacterium. Its description in RNAcentral is "bacterial SSU rRNA". It matches the Rfam family "Bacterial small subunit ribosomal RNA", at positions 28 to 501 of the family's 1533-position model. The record is from RNAcentral.